RNAcentral lists this ribosomal RNA (406 nucleotides) under uncultured bacterium. RNAcentral's name for it is "partial 16S ribosomal RNA". It matches the Rfam family "Bacterial small subunit ribosomal RNA", at positions 30 to 526 of the family's 1533-position model. The record is from RNAcentral.
AUUGAACGCUGGCGGCAGGCCUAACACAUGCAAGUCGAACGAGUGGCGGACGGGUUAUUAAUGUCUGGGAAACUGCCUGAUGGCGGGGGAUACCUACUGUAAACGGUAGCUAAUCCCGCAUACCCUCGGAUGUGCCCAUAUGGGAUUAGCUAGUAGGUGGGGUAAAGGCUCACCUAGGCCACGAUCCCUAUCUGGUCGGAGAGGAUGACCAGCCACACUGGAACUGAGACACGGUCCAGACUCCUACGGGAGGCAGCAGUGGGGAAUAUUGCACAAUGGGCGCAAGCCUGAUGCAGCCAUGCCGCGUGGAUGAAGAAGGCCUUCGGGUUGUAAAGUACUGUCAGCGGGGAGGCGUUACCCGCAGAAGAAGCACCGGCUAACUCCGUGCCAGCAGCCGCGGUAAUAC